Pelobates cultripes (western spadefoot toad) is the source of this 215-nucleotide non-coding RNA. NCBI's taxonomy places the organism in Eukaryota, Metazoa, Chordata, Amphibia, Anura, Pelobatidae. The record is from the annotation of a GenBank genome assembly.
CACUCUAAUCAGCUAAGUAAGCCAUAACACCUGCAAAGGGUUUGUGAGCCUUUAAAUGGUCUCUCAGUCUGGUUCAGUAGGAAUCACAAUAAUGGGGAAGACUGCUGACCUGACAGUUGUGCAGAAAACCAUCAUUGACACCCUCCAUAAGGAGGGAAAGCCUCAAAAGGUAAUUGUGAAGAAAGUUGGAUGUUCCCAAAGUGCUGUAUCAAAGC